This is a long non-coding RNA of Jaculus jaculus (lesser Egyptian jerboa), 2848 nucleotides long. RefSeq lists it as uncharacterized. The record is from RefSeq and is a predicted model, not a curated record. NCBI's taxonomy places the organism in Eukaryota, Metazoa, Chordata, Mammalia, Rodentia, Dipodidae. The transcript is spliced from 5 exons.
GGCUGUACACGCAGUGCGCAAGGCGGAGAGCGGGAGAGCCAGGCAUCCCGGCAUCCCGGCACCCGCUCCAGGGCCGGGCUCUCCACCUGGUCCGCACACGCCGCCGGCUCGAGCAGUCCCUGGGCGAGCCGAGGGCAGGACUUCGUUGCCAGCUCCAGACGCACACCAGCUCAAGUCCCCUGGGGCCGGAGUCCCACGGGCGCGAGAGCCCGGGAGAGUGGAGAACAGCAGUGGUGGGGGCCGACUUACCUGACGCAGCGGUCUCGGCGCCGUCCCCGUCCCGGUCCUCGUCCCUGCGCACCUCCGCCAGCCGAGGGCAGCUCGGCUUUGCUAGGUUGGCCUCGCACCUCCAGGGAAGAGGCGCAAGCUGGCAAAGACAAGGUGCGCGCGGUUCCUGGAGAGAGGUUCCUCUGAACUUGGGGAGGGCAACGCAAUUAAUUCUGCUCGCGAGCUUAAUAUUUAAAACACCCACGCAAAAACCAUAACGGCCGUUAAAACCUCGAGUUCCCGCUUUGAGAGACUCCCUCGCCCUGGCCAGGCGGGGAAUCCAGACCUGGGCGACACCGUCUAAGGUGGCCCACUGCCCAGGAAGGGCUUCAUGGCUGCUGUGUAAACAGCGCAGACAUACGUGCCGGUCUCUCCCAAACACCAGGAGAACUUUUACUAAAACGAAGAAUACGUGGAAGAGUGUGAAAGCCAGAAGGGAAGAGGUUGAAAACUUUAAUUACAACACGGAGAAAAGUUUUCGCAAUUGAUUUCCUUAAGCCGGGCUAACAAACCUCCCAGCAGUCCAGCAGCCCGCAGCACUGUAAGCUGGAGUAAGCAGAUAACCUGAACCCCCAAAUAACGGUGCCCCUGGGACUGUGCCUCAAAGAGGUCGGAACUCGUGUUUCAGCAACAAGAAGCAAAACUAGACAAUGCUCUGUGUCCUUCUACGACGUCAUUUUGUAAAAGGACAGGUCAUUGUUCCUCCACUUUAAGUGGAUGGAGAAUAGCAUUAAAUUUCCUUUGAAUCUGCGAGUCAUCCUGUUGGGAAACCACAGCUGUAGCAGCAGAAAACCGCCACAAAGAAGGUAGGGAAAGUGGGGGAAAUGCAUGAACUUUGUUUUUCAAAGAAAAAUGAAGAUAAAUCAAAAAUAAGUUUUACAGACAUGCCUUUCCUAGCUUAGGAAAGUUAAUUUUCAAAUGUGCUUCUGCUGUCUAGGGUGCAAAGCCGAGGCUAGGGGCGUGCGUGGCUGUAAUCUGCAUGCUGAUAAGAGAAGGUGGUGUACUUACAGUGACAGAGGGCAGGCUGCGGGAGAAAAGCUGUUUGUGUUAGCCUGCGAGCUACCCCGGGCUGCAGUGAGAGCCGAAGGGAGGAGUGGGAGUGCCAGUCUGCGUACACCUUCACCGCGUCUCAUUACAUCUGCCAGCCUCUCUCUCCCUCUCUCUUUCAUUUCCACAUUCCCUUUGUUCCUGAAAAAAAAUCUACACGUCACAUCAGAGUCCCCAGAUGCAGUCUACACCAAAGAAAAAAAUGAAUAAUUCAAUCAAACUGUGCAUAGUCUCUAAGGCAAUAAAUCUAUUGCACUUAAAGAAAGAAGGGUAAUUACCUCGACAGAAUCAGAAUAAGGCCAAAGACCCGAGAUGUCGCCGAGGCUCUGGGCAAACUCCCUGGUCAAAUAAAGUUUCAUUUAUUUAAUCCUUUUGACAUCUCAAAUGGAAAGUCAGAGAAAGAUUUUUAAACUUAUUUUAGACGUGUUCACUUCUUUUUAAACACAUUAUGGAAGAUGGGGGAGGGGGCUAGCGGUUACUACCUUGUCGAGAAGCUCCCCACCACAGCAGCAGAGAGCCCGCACAGACACCAACCCAGACAAUGCGUGUCCGUGGGGCCUGUCCAGGGUCCGUGUCCCCGCACUCCACCCUCCUCCACUCUCCUCCCCGCCAACAGAGGGACUCCCUCCACUUCCCACCACUGUGGCUCUGAAGGAAGCAGCUGCAAUGGGGAACCUUACCUGCCGAGCGAAGACCUAAGAGAAGUCGCCCUGCCCUGUCAACACCCCAUGCCAUUCCUAUGCCCCCUUCCAAAGCCCAGCAGCCAUCUACUUCUCCCAUCUGCCUAGGAGAAACUGUGAACGGGAUUUUUCCCACCACGAUUGAACGGAAGCUCUGUACUGAACCGACUUCUGGAUAUGCCCUGGGUUGAGUUUAGGGAAUGUCUGGAAGGGAGAAAGGAGGAGGAAAAAAGGAGGGGGGCAGCUCGAGCCUUAUCCAAGUUAGGCAGAAGGCGGUGUUGGGCGGCAGGAAAGCGCCUGCGGGAGGAACAGCUGGGAUUCUGGCUGGCUACGGAGGUCUAAGAACCGUGUCCUCCGUCCCAGAGGCUACUGAUAUGCAGUAAGCUCCUCCUGGGAUGUGGGGUGGCAGCAGUAAUCUCCUCAUCAGCCAAGACCAUGAGGGGAACAGACAAGACUCUGCAGACUGCUGUACGGCUAAGGUGGAGGUCAGAUCAGUUGUAGGUCAGAUGUAAUCAUUCAACUGCACACCUCUUCCAUUUGUGGAUCUCUCAUUGAACCUGCAGCGCACUGAUUCUGCUAUACUGUCUGGCCAGCAAGCCCCAGGGUUCUUCCCUUCUCUGCCUCCUCGGGGCUGGGAUUAUAGAGGGCAGUGAUAAUGGAGGACAACCAAAUUCUACCAACAAGACAAGAAAAGAUAGUUGACUCCCUGGCAGGAGAUGAAGCACCCUCACACGUCAGCCAGGCCAGGUGAAACCACCAAGGAACUGGUGAGACAAACAAGAGUGCUGCUUCUACAGCAAGCCUCACAGCCUAUGCCAGGGUGAUGGAGACAGACACUGAGGAUACUCAAAAAU